Molecule: unclassified non-coding RNA, 756 nt
Filed under: Hevea brasiliensis (rubber tree)
Lineage: Eukaryota; Viridiplantae; Streptophyta; Magnoliopsida; Malpighiales; Euphorbiaceae
Source: RNAcentral
AAUGAGGGUUAUGGAAAGGAAAGAUGAUUUGAUUUAGGAGGGUUAUGAUAUUUUAUAGAAUUGGAUAAAGUUGGUUUUUAAGGAAAUUUGAUUUUUUGGAAUUUGGAAAGUUGGUUUUUUUUAUAUGUAAUUUUAAAUUUUGAGUUUUUUUUUAAAGUUUGUUUGGUUGUUAGUUUUAUUUUUUAUUUUUUAGAAAAAAUGGUUUAAAGAAAUUUUUUUUAUUUUAGGUGGAAAAUUGGAAGAUGUUUUGUUUUGUUUGUUUGGAUUGAUGUUUGUGUUAGUGUGAGUUUUGUGAUUUUUGAUAAUAGUGUUUAAGUUUUGAGUUUUUAUUUUAAUGGUUUUAAGAUAAGGUAGUUUUUGUAAUUUUAAUUGUUUUUAAUAUAAGAAAAUUUUGAUUUUAGGGAAUGUUAGAGUUUCGUGAAUUGGGAAUUAGUUAAUAUGAAAUAUUUAGUAGUUUUGUUUUUGUUUUUUUAUUGUAGAUAUGUUUAAGAGUUAUUAAUAUGAAGUAUAAAAUGUUUAUAGUGUUUUGGUUUGUUUUAAGGUAAAAAUUGUUAUAUUGUUUUAUUUGUUAUAAGUUUGUUAAUAAGAAAGUAUUUUGAAAGAAUAGGAAUAAAAUGAAAAAUUAAAUGUGAUAUGAGUUUUUAGAGAAAUUAUGAAUAUUAAUUAUAUUUGAAAAUAUUUGUUUAUGAGAGUUUUGAUUGAAGGUAGAGGAGAAGGGGAUGAUAGAGGUUAAGAUGGUUGGAUGGUAUUAUUGAU